GAUUGGGGGGGAUUUUGGGGUGUUUUGGGGUCACCUGUGCGACAUGAGCCCCCAAAACAACGUGGUACCCCAAAAUUUGGGGGGGAUUUUGGGGGGUUUCAGGGGUCACCUGUGCGACGUGAGCCCCCAAAAUAACGUGGUACCCCAAAACUGGGGGGAUUUCGGGAGGAUUUUGGGGAUUUUGGGGUGUCCUUGGGGUCACCUGUGCGACAUGAGCCCCCAAAACAACGUGGGGCAGCGUCCCUGUGACCUGGCGGACGAGGAGACCCUGCCCCUGCUGGAGGAGCUGCAGCGGCGCCAGCACCACGUGAGACCCCCGAAACCUCCCCAAAAUCUGCGGAAUCCCACCCAAAAAACGGCCAAAAUCUGCAGAAUCCCACCCAAAAAACAACACCCAAAACCUGCGGAAUCCCACCCAAAAAACGGCCAAAAUCUGCGGAAUCCCACCCAAAAAACAACCCAUGAAAACCUCCCAAAAAUCCUCCCAAAAAUCCACAAAAUCCCACCCAAAAAUGCACAAAACCCCCCCCAAAACCCCCAAAAUCCAACCCAAAAUCCCCAAAAUUCACCCAAAAAAGCCCAAAUUCCCCCCAAAACCCCCAAAAUCCAACCCAAAAUCCCCAAAAAACCCAAAAACCCCAAAAUUCCCCCCAAAAAAACCCAAAUUUUCUCCAAAUUUCCCCCAAAUUUCCCCCAAAAUCCCUCCAAAAUCCCCAAACUCCCCCCCA
Molecule: long non-coding RNA, 728 nt
Filed under: Cyanistes caeruleus (blue tit)
Lineage: Eukaryota; Metazoa; Chordata; Aves; Passeriformes; Paridae
Description: lncRNA (ENSCCEG00000000541.1)
Source: RNAcentral